GACGAACGCUGGCGGCGUGCUUAACACAUGCAAGUCGAACGGAAAGGCCCUGCUUUUGUGGGGUGCUCGAGUGGCGAACGGGUGAGUAACACGUGAGUAACCUGCCCUUGACUUUGGGAUAACUUCAGGAAACUGGGGCUAAUACCGGAUAGGAGCUCCUGCUGCAUGGUGGGGGUUGGAAAGUUUCGGCGGUUGGGGAUGGACUCGCGGCUUAUCAGCUUGUUGGUGGGGUAGUGGCUUACCAAGGCUUUGACGGGUAGCCGGCCUGAGAGGGUGACCGGCCACAUUGGGACUGAGAUACGGCCCAGACUCCUACGGGAGGCAGCAGUGGGGAAUAUUGCACAAUGGGCGGAAGCCUGAUGCAGCAACGCCGCGUGCGGGAUGACGGCCUUCGGGUUGUAAACCGCUUUCGCCUGUGACGAAGCGUGAGUGACGGUAAUGGGUAAAGAAGCACCGGCUAACUACGUGCCAGCAGCCGCGGUGAUACGUAGGGUGCGAGCGUUGUCCGGAUUUAUUGGGCGUAAAGGGCUCGUAGGUGGUUGAUCGCGUCGGAAGUGUAAUCUUGGGGCUUAACCCUGAGCGUGCUUUCGAUACGGGUUGACUUGAGGAAGGUAGGGGAGAAUGGAAUUCCUGGUGGAGCGGUGGAAUGCGCAGAUAUCAGGAGGAACACCAGUGGCGAAGGCGGUUCUCUGGGCCUUUCCCGACGCUGAGGAGCGAAAGCGUGGGGAGCGAACAGGCUUAGAUACCCUGGUAGUCCACGCUGUAAACGGUGGGUACUAGGUGUGGGGUCCAUUCCACGGGUUCCGUGCCGUAGCUAACGCUUUAAGUACCCCGCCUGGGGAGUACGGCCGCAAGGCUAAAACUCAAAGGAACUGACGGGGCCCCGCACAAGCGGCGGAGCAUGCGGAUUAAUUCGAUGCAACGCGUAGAACCUUACCUGGGUUUGACAUGGAUCGGGAGUGCUCAGAGAUGGGUGUGCCUCUUUUGGGGUCGGUUCACAGGUGGUGCAUGGCUGUCGUCAGCUCGUGUCGUGAGAUGUUGGGUUAAGUCCCGCAACGAGCGCAACCCUUGUUCACUGUUGCCAGCACGUUAUGGUGGGGACUCAGUGGAGACCGCCGGGGUCAACUCGGAGGAAGGUGGGGAUGACGUCAGGUCAUCAUGCCCCUUAUGUCCAGGGCUUCACGCAUGCUACAAUGGCUGGUACAGAGAGUGGCGAGCCUGUGAGGGUGAGCGAAUCUCGGAAAGCCGGUCUCAGUUCGGAUUGGGGUCUGCAACUCGACCUCAUGAAGUCGGAGUCGCUAGUAAUCGCAGAUCAGCAACGCUGCGGUGAAUACGUUCCCGGGGCU
RNAcentral lists this ribosomal RNA (1346 nucleotides) under uncultured bacterium. RNAcentral describes it as "partial 16S ribosomal RNA". It matches the Rfam family "Bacterial small subunit ribosomal RNA", at positions 28 to 1381 of the family's 1533-position model. The record is from RNAcentral.